This 511-nucleotide unclassified non-coding RNA is filed under the name Hevea brasiliensis (rubber tree). The record is from RNAcentral. Lineage: Eukaryota; Viridiplantae; Streptophyta; Magnoliopsida; Malpighiales; Euphorbiaceae.
AAGAAGAAGGAAUUCAUAUCACAAUAUUGCAGAUUUCUUCUUCAGUGCAAUAAUUACCUAUGUAGAGAAUUUAGACAUAAACAGUGAACAAACAUGUUGAACACAAUAUUUAAACUGCAAAACAAUCAUGUUCUCACUAAGAAAAUGAGCAAUGCACAACCUUUUGGCAGCUUUCCACCACCCUUGAAUAUCACAAAUGCAUGAUUACUCUAUGAGGAUUAAACAUGGGUAAGAACUAAGAGCCAGGAAAAUUUAUAAUAAUUAUACUAUUGAAAAAGUAAUUUUUAUCUGCAGAAAAUGACAUCAAAAUCAUACAUGAAAUUUCAAAUUUCUCAAAUCAAUAGUUGAGUAUACCAUAUGCUAUACAAAACUAUUUAGUUUGGCCUGCAAGUAAUAGUUAAAUAAUUUUAUUAAGCACCCUGCAGUACAUAUUAAACUCCCCAAACAAAAUAGAAAAUUUUGAAAAACAAUUUAAUGGAACUCAUACACAAUAUCUGAAUUAAAAUUUUUU